GCAAGUCGAGCGAAUGGAUUGAGAGCUUGCUCUCAAGAAGUUAGCGGCGGACGGGUGAGUAACACGUGGGUAACCUGCCCAUAAGACUGGGAUAACUCCGGGAAACCGGGGCUAAUACCGGAUAAUAUUUUGAACUGCAUGGUUCGAAAUUGAAAGGCGGCUUCGGCUGUCACUUAUGGAUGGACCCGCGUCGCAUUAGCUAGUUGGUGAGGUAACGGCUCACCAAGGCAACGAUGCGUAGCCGACCUGAGAGGGUGAUCGGCCACACUGGGACUGAGACACGGCCCAGACUCCUACGGGAGGCAGCAGUAGGGAAUCUUCCGCAAUGGACGAAAGUCUGACGGAGCAACGCCGCGUGAGUGAUGAAGGCUUUCGGGUCGUAAAACUCUGUUGUUAGGGAAGAACAAGUGCUAGUUGAAUAAGCUGGCACCUUGACGGUACCUAACCAGAAAGCCACGGCUAACUACGUGCCAGCAGCCGCGGUAAUACGUAGGUGGCAAGCGUUAUCCGGAAUUAUUGGGCGUAAAGCGCGCGCAGGUGGUUUCUUAAGUCUGAUGUGAAAGCCCACGGCUCAACCGUGGAGGGUCAUUGGAAACUGGGAGACUUGAGUGCAGAAGAGGAAAGUGGAAUUCCAUGUGUAGCGGUGAAAUGCGUAGAGAUAUGGAGGAACACCAGUGGCGAAGGCGACUUUCUGGUCUGUAACUGACACUGAGGCGCGAAAGCGUGGGGAGCAAACAGGAUUAGAUA
RNAcentral lists this ribosomal RNA (747 nucleotides) under Bacillus sp. (in: firmicutes). RNAcentral's name for it is "bacterial SSU rRNA". It matches the Rfam family "Bacterial small subunit ribosomal RNA", at positions 57 to 784 of the family's 1533-position model. The record is from RNAcentral. Lineage: Bacteria; Bacillati; Bacillota; Bacilli; Caryophanales; Bacillaceae.